UCUCCGUAGGUGAACCUGCGGAGGGAUCAUUAAAGAGAUAGGGUUCUCACGAAUCCGACCUCCAACCCUUUGUCUACCAAACCACUGUUGCCUCGGCGGGCCGUCGGUUCCCCUUACCGGGUGCCGCCGUCGGCCCUCGUGCUCUCGAGCGCCCGCCGCGGGACCUUCAAAAACCCUUCUGAAACAAGCAAUCUGAGUGAAUUUAAUGCUUCAAUUAAAACUUUCAACAACGGAUCUCUUGGUUCUGGCAUCGAUGAAGAACGCAGC
This 267-nucleotide unclassified non-coding RNA is filed under the name uncultured fungus. RNAcentral's name for it is "sequence contains ITS1, 5.8S rRNA gene". The stretch from base 219 to 267 matches the Rfam family "5.8S ribosomal RNA", at positions 1 to 49 of the family's 154-position model. The record is from RNAcentral. Lineage: Eukaryota; Fungi.